RNAcentral lists this transfer RNA (67 nucleotides) under Marmota monax (woodchuck). RNAcentral describes it as "tRNA.Ala". The record is from RNAcentral. Lineage: Eukaryota; Metazoa; Chordata; Mammalia; Rodentia; Sciuridae.
GGUUGUGGCUCAGUGGUAGAGUGCUUGCCUUGCAUGCAUGGGGCAGUGGGUUCCAUCCUCAGCACCA